This 114-nucleotide transfer RNA is filed under the name Saccharomyces cerevisiae (brewer's yeast). It matches the Rfam family "tRNA". From Rfam's summary of the family: Transfer RNA (tRNA) molecules are approximately 80 nucleotides in length. Their secondary structure includes four short double-helical elements and three loops (D, anti-codon, and T loops). The record is from RNAcentral. Lineage: Eukaryota; Fungi; Ascomycota; Saccharomycetes; Saccharomycetales; Saccharomycetaceae.
GGUUGUUUGGCCGAGCGGUCCAAGGCGCCUGAUUCAAGAAAAUAUCUUGACUGCAGUUAAUUGUAGGAAUACUCGGUAUCGUAAGAUGCAAGAGUUCGAAUCUCUUAGCAACCA